AGUGAACGCUGGCGGUAGGCCUAACACAUGCAAGUCGAACGGCAGCACAGUAAGAGCUUGCUCUUACGGGUGGCGAGUGGCGGACGGGUGAGGAAUACAUCGGAAUCUACUUUUUCGUGGGGGAUAACAUAGGGAAACUUACGCUAAUACCGCAUACGACCUACGGGUGAAAGCAGGGGAUCUUCGGACCUUGCGCGAUUGAAUGAGUCGAUGUCGGAUUAGCUAGUUGGCGGGGUAAAGGCCCACCAAGGCGACGAUCCGUAGCUGGUCUGAGAGGAUGAUCAGCCACACUGGAACUGAGACACGGUCCAGACUCCUACGGGAGGCAGCAGUGGGGAAUAUUGGACAAUGGGCGCAAGCCUGAUCCAGCCAUACCGCGUGGGUGAAGAAGGCCUUCGGGUUGUAAAGCCCUUUUGUUGGGAAAGAAAAGCAGCAGGUUAAUACCCCGCUGUUCUGACGGUACCCAAAGAAUAAGCACCGGCUAACUUCGUG
Molecule: ribosomal RNA, 492 nt
Filed under: uncultured bacterium
Lineage: Bacteria
Description: partial 16S ribosomal RNA
Rfam family: Bacterial small subunit ribosomal RNA
Source: RNAcentral